RNAcentral lists this unclassified non-coding RNA (755 nucleotides) under Haliotis rubra (blacklip abalone). RNAcentral's name for it is "keratin, type II cytoskeletal 2 epidermal-like, transcript variant X3". Lineage: Eukaryota; Metazoa; Mollusca; Gastropoda; Lepetellida; Haliotidae. The record is from RNAcentral.
ACCCGCCAGUUUUGUUUUACAGACGCCGAUCGAGGGGGUCAGAACUUGUUGGACAUUUUGAGACGAUCACAGCAACAUCGUUGACGGGGAGAGUUGUAUCCGUCAUAUUCUGAGAAUGAGGACUUGGCCGUUGUUGCUUGUCGUCACGGCUGCCGUUGUGGCGGUCGUGUUUGCAGAGGAGGAUGAUCAAAGUCAUCAUCUGACAAAGCGUAGUCGAUCACGCGAACGUAUGGAUUACGGGUGCAUGGACUGCUUUGGCCGAGGCAGUCGAGAAGGUCGUCGGUACGGAGGCCGCAGUCGCGGAGGUUACAGUCAUGGAGGUCAUAGUAUAGUGAUAGUAGUGAUAGUAGUGGAGGGCGGAGUCGUGGAGGAAGACGCAGCAGGGGUCGACAUAGUCGAGGUCGUAGUGGAGGGAGAAGCAGAGGUGGCCACUGGUCGGAGUCAGACGGGUACGAUAACGGUGGACAACCAUCUUGCAGGUGCCCGUUCCAGUUUCAAGGUCAACAGGGAUGGAGCCAAGGACCACAGUUUGGUUCAGUAGGCUACGGGCGUCAAGGCGGACACAGUGACGGAUACUACCGUCAGUGGAACAGAGCUUUCUCCACCCACCCCUGCUGCGGAGGUAGGUAUGGCAACAUCACCUUCCUUCAGACAACACAAGAAUCUCGCCAGGGCCCGGUAGCGUUUUAAACAGCACUAACACUGCCAAUAAGGUGUUGAGCUAUGACGUCUUCAAUAAACAUUCACCUGAGAAA